RNAcentral lists this ribosomal RNA (423 nucleotides) under uncultured bacterium. RNAcentral describes it as "bacterial SSU rRNA". It matches the Rfam family "Bacterial small subunit ribosomal RNA", at positions 355 to 775 of the family's 1533-position model. The record is from RNAcentral.
UGAGGAAUAUUGCGCAAUGGACGAAAGUCUGACGCAGCCAUGCCGCGUGAAGGACGAAGGCCCUAUGGGUUGUAAACUUCUUUUGUAUGGGAAAAAACCCUUUGAUUCUUCAGAGGCUGAUGGUACCAUAAGAAUAAGCACCGGCUAACUCCGUGCCAGCAGCCGCGGUAAUACGGAGGGUGCAAGCGUUAUCCGGAUUUAUUGGGUUUAAAGGGUCCGUAGGCGGACUAUUAAGUCAGCGGUGAAAGCCCACAGCUCAACUGUGGAACUGCCGUUGAUACUGGUAGUCUUGAGUACAAGUGAAGUUGGCGGAAUGUGUGGUGUAGCGGUGAAAUGCUUAGAUAUCACACAGAACACCAAUUGCGAAGGCAGCUGGCUAACUUGUAACUGACGCUGAGGGACGAAAGUGUGGGGAUCAAACAG